GGUUCCAUAGCUCAGUGGUAGAGCAAAUGACUGCGGAUCAAUAGGUCACCAGUUUGAACCCGGUUGAGCCCG
This 72-nucleotide transfer RNA is filed under the name Triticum aestivum (bread wheat). It matches the Rfam family "tRNA". From Rfam's summary of the family: Transfer RNA (tRNA) molecules are approximately 80 nucleotides in length. The record is from Rfam by way of RNAcentral. Lineage: Eukaryota; Viridiplantae; Streptophyta; Magnoliopsida; Poales; Poaceae. RNAcentral also lists the same sequence under 1 other name.